RNAcentral lists this ribosomal RNA (566 nucleotides) under Paenibacillus elgii. Its description in RNAcentral is "bacterial SSU rRNA". It matches the Rfam family "Bacterial small subunit ribosomal RNA", at positions 31 to 594 of the family's 1533-position model. The record is from RNAcentral. Lineage: Bacteria; Bacillati; Bacillota; Bacilli; Caryophanales; Paenibacillaceae.
GAACGCUGGCGGCGUGCCUAAUAGUACCAAGUCGAGCGGACCCUUCGGGGUUAGCGGCGGACGGGUGAGCAACACGUAGGCAACCUGCCUGUAAGACUGGGAUAACUACCGGAGACGGUAGCUAAGACCGGAUAAGUGAUUCUCUCGCAUGAGAGGAUCAAGAUACACGGGGCAACCUGUGGCUUACAGAUGGGCCUGCGGCGCAUUAGCUAGUUGGUGGGGUAACGGCUCACCAAGGCGACGAUGCGUAACCGACCUGAGAGGGUGAUCGGCCACGUCAGGACUGAGACACGGCCCAGACUCCUACGGGAGGCAGCAGUAGGGAAUCUUCCGCAAUGGACGCAAGUCUGACGGAGCAACGCCGCGUGAGUGAUGAAGGUUUUCGGAUCGUAAAGCUCUGUUGCCAGGGAAGAACGUCGUGGAGAGUAACUGCUCUGCGAAUGACGGUACCUGAGAAGACAGCCCCGGCUAAGUACGUGCCAGCAGCCGCGGUAAUACGUAGGGGGCAAUCGUUGUCCGGAAUUAUUGGGCGUAAAGCGCGCGCAGGCGGCCGCUUACUAGUGGUG